RNAcentral lists this long non-coding RNA (477 nucleotides) under Gadus morhua (Atlantic cod). RNAcentral's name for it is "lncRNA (ENSGMOG00000022705.1)". The record is from RNAcentral. Lineage: Eukaryota; Metazoa; Chordata; Actinopteri; Gadiformes; Gadidae.
UGCUCCUUAAUGACCUGUCUCUGUGUUCACUGCCUAACCCCAACCUGCUCCUUAAUGACCUGUCUCUGUGUUCACUGUCCAACCCCCACCUGCAGAGAGACUGCCACAACCCAAUAGCACCUCAGACUGCAGCGACGUCCCCGCAGUUAAGGGCUGCGAUGCCGUUUCGCCUCCAAGCAAAACCUGUGCAGACCCUUUGACUCUAUUCAUUCCUGCUUGGAAUUUGUCAAGCAACUGCAGUAAACCAACAGUUAGUUACCUGAUGCAGAUCAAUGUCAGCAUUUCUGGAGAAAAUAACAAUGAACAUGACGUCCGUUUAUGGCUUCAGGAGCUCUUUGAUGAUCACUCAGAUGGCUGUUUGACAACAGCGAUGACAACAGCGAUGACAAAGUAUGACACAACUACAAUACAUUCAUUUACAAUGACGCCAUGACAAACUUAAACCAGCACUAUUUACAUUUUCACAUUAAUAGCCUU